GAUGAACGCUGGCGGCGUGCCUAAUACAUGCAAGUCGAGCGAACAGACGAGGAGCUUGCUCCUCUGACGUUAGCGGCGGACGGGUGAGUAACACGUGGAUAACCUACCUAUAAGACUGGGAUAACUUCGGGAAACCGGAGCUAAUACCGGAUAAUAUAUUGAACCGCAUGGUUCAAUAGUGAAAGACGGUUUUGCUGUCACUUAUAGAUGGAUCCGCGCCGCAUUAGCUAGUUGGUAAGGUAACGGCUUACCAAGGCGACGAUGCGUAGCCGACCUGAGAGGAUGAUCGGCCACACUGGAACUGAGACACGGUCCAGACUCCUACGGGAGGCAGCAGUAGGGAAUCUUGCGCAAUGGGCGCAAGCCUGACGGAGCAACGCCGCGUGAGUGAUGAAGGUCUUCGGAUCGUAAAACUCUGUUAUUAGGGAAGAACAAAUGUGUAAGUAACUAUGCACGUCUUGACGGUACCUAAACAGAAAGCCACGGCUAACUACGUG
RNAcentral lists this ribosomal RNA (497 nucleotides) under uncultured bacterium. Its description in RNAcentral is "partial 16S ribosomal RNA". It matches the Rfam family "Bacterial small subunit ribosomal RNA", at positions 28 to 507 of the family's 1533-position model. The record is from RNAcentral.